AGUGAACGCUGGCGGUAGGCCUAACACAUGCAAGUCGAACGGCAGCACCGUAAGAGCUUGCUCUUACGGGUGGCGAGUGGCGGACGGGUGAGGAAUACAUCGGACUCUACUUUUUCGUGGGGGAUAACGUAGGGAAACUUACGCUAAUACCGCAUACGACCUACGGGUGAAAGCAGGCGGCCUUCGAACCUUGCGCGAUUGUAUGAGCCGAGGUCGGAGGAGAUAGUUGGCGGGGUAGAGGCAAUCCAAGGCGACGAUCCGUAGCUGGUCUGAGAGGAUGAUCAGGCACACGGGAUGAGAGACAGAGUCCAGACACCUACGGGAGGAAGCAGUGGAGAAUAUUGGAGGAGGGGGGAGAGCCGGAUCCAGCCAUACCGCGGGAGGGAAGAAGGCCCUCGGGUGGGAAAACCCUGUUGUUGGGAAAGAAAAGCAGCAGGUUAAUACCCCGCUGUACUGACGGUACCCAAAGAAUAAGCACCGGCUAACUUCGUG
RNAcentral lists this ribosomal RNA (492 nucleotides) under uncultured bacterium. RNAcentral describes it as "partial 16S ribosomal RNA". It matches the Rfam family "Bacterial small subunit ribosomal RNA", at positions 30 to 507 of the family's 1533-position model. The record is from RNAcentral.